CCCCCCCCCAGCAUCAAGGCAUGCUUUGGUUACAGACUUUCAGGAGAAAGAGGCUACCAAAGCAGCAGUACUAUCUAUCAGAGCUGGAGGUGUUGGGCUAACUUUGACAGCUGCAAGCACCGUUAUUUUUGCAGAGUUGUCUUGGACUCCAGGUGAUCUGAUUCAAGCUGAAGAUUGUGCUCACAGGAUUGGCCAAGUGUCUUCAGUCAAUAUAUACUACCUGCUAGCAAAUGACACAGUUGAUGACAUCAUUUGGUAUGUUCAUUUGCAAUUUUCCUUACAAUGACUUCAUUUCUAUCUUUGUUGGAGUUUAAUGGCCGAACAAUGGUGAUGAUGAUGACCACUUAGUAACUUUG
Molecule: long non-coding RNA, 356 nt
Organism: Juglans microcarpa x Juglans regia
Lineage: Eukaryota; Viridiplantae; Streptophyta; Magnoliopsida; Fagales; Juglandaceae
Exons: 3
Source: RefSeq, a predicted model, not a curated record